GUAGGUGGCAAGCGUUGUCCGGAAUUAUUGGGCGUAAAGCGCGCGCAGGCGGUUCUUUAAGUCUGAUGUGAAAGCCCACGGCUCGACCGUGGAGGGUCAUUGGAAACUGGAGAACUUGAGUACAGAAGAGGAAAGCGGAAUUCCACGUGUAGCGGUGAAAUGCGUAGAGAUGUGGAGGAACACCAGUGGCGAAGGCGGCUUUCUGGUCUGUAACUGACGCUGAGGCGCGAAAGCGUGGGGAGCAAACAGGAUUAGAUACCCUGGUAGUCCACGCCGUGAACGAUGAGUGCUAAGUGUUAGGGGGUUUCCGCCCCUUAGUGCUGCAGCUAACGCAUUAAGCACUCCGCCUGGGAGUACGGCCGCAAGGCUG
Molecule: ribosomal RNA, 370 nt
Filed under: uncultured organism
Description: partial 16S ribosomal RNA
Rfam family: Bacterial small subunit ribosomal RNA
Source: RNAcentral